UGCCUCAUACAGGGGGAUAACAGUUAGAAAUGACUGCUAAUACCGCAUAAGCGCACGGUCUCGCAUGGGACAGUGUGAAAAACUCCGGUGGUAUGAGAUGGACCCGCGUCUGAUUAGCUAGUUGGUGGGGUAAGGGCUCACCAAGGCGACGAUCAGUAGCCGGCCUGAGAGGGUGAACGGCCACAUUGGGACUGAGACACGGCCCAAACUCCUACGGGAGGCAGCAGUGGGGAAUAUUGCACAAUGGGGGAAACCCUGAUGCAGCGACGCCGCGUGAAGGAAGAAGUAUUUCGGUAUGUAAACUUCUAUCAGCAGGGAAGAAAAUGACGGUACCUGACUAAGAAGCCCCGGCUAACUACGUGCCAGCAGCCGCGGUAAUACGUAGGGGGCAAGCGUUAUCCGGAUUUACUGGGUGUAAAGGGAGCGUAGGCGGUUCAGCAAGUCAGAAGUGAAAGCCCGGGGCUCAACUCCGGGACUGCUUUUGAAACUGUUGAACUAGAUUGCAGGAGAGGUAAGUGGAAUUCCUAGUGUAGCGGUGAAAUGCGUAGAUAUUAGGAGGAACACCAGUGGCGAAGGCGGCUUACUGGACUGUAAAUGACGCUGAGGCUCGAAAGCGUGGGGAGCCCUUAAGGUUAGAUACCCUGGUAGUCCACGCCGUAA
RNAcentral lists this ribosomal RNA (660 nucleotides) under uncultured bacterium. RNAcentral's name for it is "bacterial SSU rRNA". It matches the Rfam family "Bacterial small subunit ribosomal RNA", at positions 127 to 805 of the family's 1533-position model. The record is from RNAcentral.